CAAUAGCGUAUAUUAAAGUUGUUGCAGUUAAAAAGCUCGUAGUUGGAUUUGUGGUGUGUGGCGAGCUCCGGGCACUUGUUGUCUGAGCAGUUCGCCGCUGCCAUCCUUGGGUGGAACCUGUGUGGCAUUAGGUUGUCGUGCAGGGGAUGCCCAUCGUUUACUGUGAAAAAUUAGAGUGUUCAAAGCAGGCUUAUGCCGUUGAAUAUAUUAGCAUGGAAUAAUGAGAUAGGACUUUUUCGCUAUUUUGUUGGUUUGCGCGAAGAGGUAAUGAUUAAUAGGGACAGUUGGGGGUAUUCGUAUUCCAUUGUCAGAGGUGAAAUUCUUGGAUUUUUGGAAGACGAACUACUGCGAAAGCAUUUACCAAGGAUGUUUUCAUUAAUCAAGAACGAAAGUUAGGGGAUCGAAGACGAUUAGAUACCAU
Molecule: ribosomal RNA, 421 nt
Filed under: uncultured eukaryote
Lineage: Eukaryota
Description: SSU rRNA
Rfam family: Eukaryotic small subunit ribosomal RNA
Source: RNAcentral